UCUCCGUUGGUGAACCAGCGGAGGGAUCAUUGCUGGAAGCGUCUCACGGCGCACCCAGAUACCCUUUGUGAACCUAUACCUAUCUGUUGCCUCGGCAGAACCUACCCUGUAGCGGGCUGCCGGCGGACCUCUAAACUCUUGUUAUACUAUUGUAAUCUGAGCGUCUUAUUUUAAUAAGUCAAAACUUUCAACAACGGAUCUCUUGGUUCUGGCAUCGAUGAAGAACGCAGC
RNAcentral lists this unclassified non-coding RNA (231 nucleotides) under uncultured fungus. RNAcentral describes it as "sequence contains ITS1, 5.8S rRNA gene". The stretch from base 183 to 231 matches the Rfam family "5.8S ribosomal RNA", at positions 1 to 49 of the family's 154-position model. The record is from RNAcentral. Lineage: Eukaryota; Fungi.